RNAcentral lists this unclassified non-coding RNA (338 nucleotides) under soil metagenome. RNAcentral's name for it is "partial contains 5.8S ribosomal RNA, internal transcribed spacer 2, and large subunit ribosomal RNA". The stretch from base 1 to 120 matches the Rfam family "5.8S ribosomal RNA", at positions 35 to 154 of the family's 154-position model. The record is from RNAcentral.
GAUGAAGAACGUAGCGAAAUGUGAUACGUAGUGUGAAUUGCAGAAUUCAGUGAAUCAUCGAAUCUUUGAACGCACAUUGCGCCCUUUGGUAUUCCAAAGGGCAUGCCUGUUCGAGCGUCAUUUGUACCCUCAAGCUUUGCUUGGUGUUGGGCGUCUUGUCUCCAGUCCGCUGGAGACUCGCCUUAAAGUCAUUGGCAGCCGGCCUACUGGUUUCGGAGCGCAGCACAAGUCGCACUCUUUUCCAGCCAAGGUCAGUGUCCAACAAGCCUUUUUUCAACUUUUGACCUCGGAUCAGGUAGGGAUACCCGCUGAACUUAAGCAUAUCAAUAAGCGGAGGA